GAUGAACGCUGGCGGCGUGCCUAAUACAUGCAAGUCGAGCGAACAGAUGAGGAGCUUGCUCCUCUGACGUUAGCGGCGGACGGGUGAGUAACACGUGGAUAACCUACCUAUAAGACUGGGAUAACUUCGGGAAACCGGAGCUAAUACCGGAUAAUAUAUUGAACCGCAUGGUUCAAUAGUGAAAGACGGUUUUGCUGUCACUUAUAGAUGGAUCCGCGCCGCAUUAGCUAGUUGGUAAGGUAACGGCUUACCAAGGCAACGAUGCGUAGCCGACCUGAGAGGGUGAUCGGCCACACUGGAACUGAGACACGGUCCAGACUCCUACGGGAGGCAGCAGUAGGGGAUCUUCCGCAAUGGGCGAAAGCCUGACGGAGCAACGCCGCGUGAGUGAUGAAGGUCUUCGGAUCGUAAAACUCUGUUAUUAGGGAAGAACAAAUGUGUAAGUAACUAUGCACGUCUUGACGGUACCUAAUCAGAAAGCCACGGCUAACUACGUG
Molecule: ribosomal RNA, 497 nt
Filed under: uncultured bacterium
Lineage: Bacteria
Description: partial 16S ribosomal RNA
Rfam family: Bacterial small subunit ribosomal RNA
Source: RNAcentral